GAUGAACGCUGGCGGCGUGCCUAAUACAUGCAAGUCGAGCGAACGGACGAGAAGCUUGCUUCUCUGAUGUUAGCGGCGGACGGGUGAGUAACACGUGGAUAACCUACCUAUAAGACUGGGAUAACUUCGGGAAACCGGAGCUAAUACCGGAUAAUAUUUUGAACCGCAUGGUUCAAAAGUGAAAGACGGUCUUGCUGUCACUUAUAGAUGGAUCCGCGCUGCAUUAGCUAGUUGGUAAGGUAACGGCUUACCAAGGCAACGAUGCAUAGCCGACCUGAGAGGGUGAUCGGCCACACUGGAACUGAGACACGGUCCAGACUCCUACGGGAGGCAGCAGUAGGGAAUCUUCCGCAAUGGGCGAAAGCCUGACGGAGCAACGCCGCGUGAGUGAUGAAGGUCUUCGGAUCGUAAAACUCUGUUAUUAGGGAAGAACAUAUGUGUAAGUAACUGUGCACAUCUUGACGGUACCUAAUCAGAAAGCCACGGCUAACUACGUGCCAGCAGCCGCGGUAAUACGUAGGUGGCAAGCGUUAUCCGGAAUUAUUGGGCGUAAAGCGCGCGUAGGCGGUUUUUUAAGUCUGAUGUGAAAGCCCACGGCUCAACCGUGGAGGGUCAUUGGAAACUGGAAAACUUGAGUGCAGAAGAGGAAAGUGGAAUUCCAUGUGUAGCGGUGAAAUGCGCAGAGAUAUGGAGGGACACCAGUGGCGAAGGCGACUUUCUGGUCUGUAACUGACGCUGAUGUGCGAAAGCGUGGGGAUCAAACAGGAUUAGAUACCCUGGUAGUCCACGCCGUAAACGAUGAGUGCUAAGUGUUAGGGGGUUUCCGCCCCUUAGUGCUGCAGCUAACGCAUUAAGCACUCCGCCUGGGGAGUACGACCGCAAGGUUGAAACUCAAAGGAAUUGACGGGGACCCGCACAAGCGGUGGAGCAUGUGGUUUAAUUCGAAGCAACGCGAAGAACCUUACCAAAUCUUGACAUCCUUUGACAACUCUAGAGAUAGAGCCUUCCCCUUCGGGGGACAAAGUGACAGGUGGUGCAUGGUUGUCGUCAGCUCGUGUCGUGAGAUGUUGGGUUAAGUCCCGCAACGAGCGCAACCCUUAAGCUUAGUUGCCAUCAUUAAGUUGGGCACUCUAAGUUGACUGCCGGUGACAAACCGGAGGAAGGUGGGGAUGACGUCAAAUCAUCAUGCCCCUUAUGAUUUGGGCUACACACGUGCUACAAUGGACAAUACAAAGGGCAGCGAAACCGCGAGGUCAAGCAAAUCCCAUAAAGUUGUUCUCAGUUCGGAUUGUAGUCUGCAACUCGACUACAUGAAGCUGGAAUCGCUAGUAAUCGUAGAUCAGCAUGCUACGGUGAAUACGUUCCCGGGUCU
RNAcentral lists this ribosomal RNA (1372 nucleotides) under uncultured bacterium. RNAcentral describes it as "bacterial SSU rRNA". It matches the Rfam family "Bacterial small subunit ribosomal RNA", at positions 28 to 1381 of the family's 1533-position model. The record is from RNAcentral.